RNAcentral lists this ribosomal RNA (480 nucleotides) under uncultured Desulfovibrio sp. RNAcentral's name for it is "bacterial SSU rRNA". It matches the Rfam family "Bacterial small subunit ribosomal RNA", at positions 908 to 1382 of the family's 1533-position model. The record is from RNAcentral. Lineage: Bacteria; Pseudomonadati; Thermodesulfobacteriota; Desulfovibrionia; Desulfovibrionales; Desulfovibrionaceae.
AAUUGACGGGGCCCGCACAAGCGGUGGAGUAUGUGGUUUAAUUCGACGCAACGCGCAGAACCUUACCUAGGCUUGACAUCCCGGGAAUUUGCUGGAAACAGUGAAGUGCUUUCAUUAGAAAGAGCCCGGUGACAGGUGCUGCAUGGCUGUCGUCAGCCCGUGUCGUGAGAUGUUGGGUUAAGUCCCGCAACGAGCGCAACCCUCGCCUUUAGUUGCCAGCAUUCAGUUGGGCACUCUAAAGGGACUGCCGGUGUCAAACCGGAGGAAGGUGGGGAUGACGUCAAGUCCUCAUGGCCUUUAUGUCUAGGGCUACACACGUACUACAAUGGGCGGUACAAAGAGAAGCAACCUCGCGAGAGUGCGCAAAUCUCAAAAAGCCGUUCUCAGUUCGGAUUGAAGUCUGCAACUCGACUUCAUGAAGUCGGAAUCGCUAGUAAUCGCGGAUCAGCAUGCCCGCGGUCGAAUACGUUCCCGGGCCUU